GGCUCCGUGGUGUAAUGGUUAGCACGCUGGACUUUUAAUCCAGUGAACCGAGUUUAAAUCUCGGCGGAACCU
Molecule: non-coding RNA, 72 nt
Organism: Trichonephila inaurata madagascariensis
Lineage: Eukaryota; Metazoa; Arthropoda; Arachnida; Araneae; Nephilidae
Source: the annotation of a GenBank genome assembly